This 253-nucleotide ribosomal RNA is filed under the name uncultured bacterium. Its description in RNAcentral is "partial 16S ribosomal RNA". It matches the Rfam family "Bacterial small subunit ribosomal RNA", at positions 524 to 776 of the family's 1533-position model. The record is from RNAcentral.
UACGGAGGAUCCGAGCGUUAUCCGGAUUUAUUGGGCGUAAAGAGCUCGUAGGCGGUUUGUCGCGUCUGCCGUGAAAGUCCGAGGCUCAACCUCGGAUCUGCGGUGGGUACGGGCAGACUAGAGUGAUGUAGGGGAGACUGGAAUUCCUGGUGUAGCGGUGAAAUGCGCAGAUAUCAGGAGGAACACCGAUGGCGAAGGCAGGUCUCUGGGCAUUUACUGACGCUGAGGAGCGAAAGCAUGGGGAGCGAACAGG